UCCUGACCUCAAGUGAUCCACCCGCCUCAGCCUCCCAAAGUUCUGGGAUUUCAGGCAUGAGCCACCGCGCCCUGCCGACACUUCCAUCUUUGAAACAGGAGGGAAGAAAAUGGAUACAGUCAAGUAAAACAAAAAAGCUCCAAGGGGAGAGACAGGCAAGACGGGCGGAUGUGUUCCUCGACUGGUGUGCCAAAGGGAAGAGCGCAGGCUGGGAAAUGGGAGGUCCGAAACCUCCUCGUCCUGUCCCUGCGUGGGACCCCCAGGCCUGGGCAAGCUGUCCGCCCUCUUGAAAUGCAUCUGUGAAAGGUGGGCCAGAAGAUUCCUAAGGUCCCUCUGGGUGUGUAUGACACACCCUGGCCUCGGACUCUGUCGAGCACGACACUGUGUACUAGGUGCCAACCAGAUGUUGGUGCCUCCAGGAGGAACCUGACCCGGGAUAAGAGCCAGGGGCUUGUCUGCAGAGGACAGCAUGGGAAGGCCAUGGAGGACCUGACUCGCCUCACUCUCGCCAACCGGUGAUGGCUGUCUUCCCCGUCUGCAUGUGCUUGGGUGAACCUUGGCCCAUCUCUGCACUCAGGUCCUACCUAGAUCAGUUUACCUAUGACUGCCAUAACAAAUUACCACAAAGGCUUAAAACAACAGAAAUGUAAUCUCUCGCCAUUCUGCAAGCCAGAAGUCUAAAAUCAAGGUGUGUGCUUCUGACACUCCCUGGCUAAAGCAGUAUCCUUCCAACAUCUGCCCUCAUGGUCACAUGGCCACCUUCUCUAUAUGCCUCUGAUGAGGACACUUGUCAUUGGAUUUAGGGCCCACCCACUGAAAUCCAGCAUGCUCUCAUCUUGGGGUCCUUAGUUAUCCGUAAAGACCCUCUGUCCACAUAAGAUAAUAAUCACGUGUUUCAGAGAUUUUUACUUGUAUAUCUUUUUUUUUGAGGUGGGGGGACAUUUUUGGUCUGCCAUAGGUCCCCAUCUGGAAAAGAGGGGGUAGUGACUCCUGGGGUUGCUCUCUUUCCCUCCAAAUGGUCCCCUGCUUGGGAACCCAAAAGUGGGGUGGCUUGACUUCCCUGGGUAUAAGGGGUACGACAGACUUGACUGUCUGGGCCCCACGCACAAUGCAUAUGUGGAAGCCCGAACCCCCAGUGUGAAGGUAGAGCCUUGGGAGAUACUUAGGUUUAGAUGAGGUCCUGAGGAUGGAGCCUCCAUGAUGUAUUAGUGUCCUUUUAAGAAGAGGAAGAGACAGCAGACCUUCUCUCUGCCCUGUGGGGUCACAGCAUGAAAGCACUGUCUGCAAGCCAGGAAACGCCCGCGCCGGAACCUGACCAUGCCGGAACCCUGAUCUGCCCCCAGACUUUCAGCCCCCAGAACUGUGAGAAAUAAAUGUCUGUUGCCUAAGCCACCCA
Molecule: long non-coding RNA, 1396 nt
Organism: Macaca mulatta (Rhesus monkey)
Lineage: Eukaryota; Metazoa; Chordata; Mammalia; Primates; Cercopithecidae
Source: RefSeq, a predicted model, not a curated record